RNAcentral lists this long non-coding RNA (4084 nucleotides) under Octopus vulgaris (common octopus). Lineage: Eukaryota; Metazoa; Mollusca; Cephalopoda; Octopoda; Octopodidae. The record is from RNAcentral.
UUUUAUUUCAUGAAUAAAUUUUUUCAAUAUUUUUUUUUAUACUUUUUCAUCAUUUAUGAAAUCCAUAUUACAAAGUCCAAAAAUGUUAAUUAAAUUCUUUCUCAAUAUCAAGUAUCAUACAAAGUAACACAAUCCACUAACACAAAGUACUUUUUUUUAUAUAUUUUGAUUAGUUUCUUUUUGAGUUUUUUUUAUUUUUAUCGUAUAACUAUUUUCUUUCCUUUUUUUUAUUUUUAAAUAUUUUUUCCAUGCUUGCAUGGGUUAUACUGUUUAGCAAAUUUAAAUAUUUGCAUGAGCGGAGAGCAGAUUUCAUUUUUUUUUUUUUCUUUCUGUUUUGUACAGCUGGAAUCUUUAAUUGUCAUUUACUUCCUGAUGCUAACCACUUUUCUGUGAUCAAGAUUAUGUUAAUACAUACUUUCAUCCACCCACCCCUCUUAAUUAGUUAACAAAGGGUUUAAGCCAAAUGCAAACACAGUAGAAUCUGUACAAUUUGGCAUUUCAGGGUCCCAAAUAUAUGUUAGUUAUUUCAAAAUAUCAUUUUAUAUGUGACAGAUUUAAAACUAUACUUUUCUGUAAAAUGCUUAACAUUCCGGGCCUUGGCAUCCAGUUGAAAAGGAAUCAAUUUUUUUAUUAUGUUUAUUCUUAUUAAUAUUAUUAUAGUUGUUGUAUUUGUGGUUCCUUUUGUACUUGCCAUUUUAGAGGGCCAGAUUCAAACUGUGUCCGAGGUGCCAAAGAGAUGUUACUACCUUGACAAAACAUUCUCCAUAGCAUAUGACCUACAACAAAUAGUAUGAUCUUCUGGACAGCAUAAAUACUAAUGUUGUUACUAUUAUUAUUAUUAUUAUUCUCCCUCCUUUCCUCUUCUUCCUUUCAUUUUUUGAUGUAAAUCCCCCUACCCACAGAAAUUGUAAACUCUCAUUGGACCUACUCUAAGCAUGCACUUAUAGAUUGGAGAGCAAAAGUUGGGUGAGGGUUUGAGUCCUUAGUGGUCAGAGUGACCCUUAAUCUGUAGGGUUCCUUGAUUGGUCUUAGUUCGAGGUUCUCCUGUGUCUAAAGGACAACAUCAUAGUUGGUCUUAGUUCGAGGUUCUCCUGUGUCUAAAGGACAACAUCAUAGAUGUGUUCACAUACUUUCUACACUAAGUAAACUUUUUAAUCUCAUUUAUCCCUUCUUCUCCUUUUCUCCCCAUCACUUUUUAUGUAAACCCCACAAAAUCUGUAUACUGUCCUUGUCAUGAUUUUCUCAGUUGAUGCCCUUGUGGCAAAUAAAGUUAUUAUUAUCAUUAUUAUUGUAAAAUAUAAUGUGUCUUGAAUGGCACAACAAUGCAGAGUGGUCUAUAAUAAUUGUUAUAAUUAAAUUAUCCAUAGUCUUAUAUAAUAAUAUUUUGGAAUAUAGAAAUUCCCUCUUCAGAUAUCUCUAGGAAUUGAUCAAGUCACUACAAUAAUCGGCUUUCCAACGGUUACUGAAAUUUUUUUCAUCUCUCGGAAGCAUCUCUGAGGUAGUCUCAUUAAGCUCCUUUCGGAAUUCCUCAUGAGAAGUGUGUGAGGAUGGCCAUGUCACAAACUCGUGUGUGUUGGCACAUCCAUAGCAUUGCUUCUAAGUUAUGUAUUAUACAUGCAGUUUCUUUCAUUUUAAAUAUAUAAUACAUGAGCAUGUUAUCAAAAAUGAACCUACACGCAUCCAGAUGUAGCUAAAUAAUAUACUGAUUGCCAACCUUCAGCCUGUUGUUAAUUUGGGGCCCCAGUCCGUCUAUGAGGAUAGCUUCCUUAAUUCUUAGAUUACCCAAAUUUCUUUCACUGGCCGAUUAUUAUUAUUAUCAUUAUUACUAUUAUUAUUAUUACUAUUAUUAUUAUUAUUUACAUAUGUUUCCUCUAAUAUAGACAUAUGAGUGAUUUGAUUUUAGUUCAGCCAAUGGUAGAGUCUGCGUGAAAGAAACAGGAAGAUGACCCUCAAUGUAUUGCUGCCGUUCAUUUUAGUGAAUGGGAAGAGAAGGAAAAAAGCAUUGUGUGACUGUUGUGGGAGUGAACUAGAUGAUCCUAGCUGAGAACUGUGAAGUAGUGGACUUCAUUCAUUUCUUUCUCAGUUGAUAUAUAUAUAUGGCACAUGGGUUAAGGUGAUUAUUUGACCGUUUAUGCUCAGUGGUAUCCAUCAUAGGAUUGCCAUUGGCCUAUAGCGUUCUAGAUGUAAUCCUGUGCACUGUGGUGGGUUGAGGGGUAGCUACCAACAGGAAUUGAACUCGGAACUGCAAGCCAAACUUUUGUUACUCCACUUUUUCAAUGUUAACCCACAACUUUUACGUUACCCUUCUUUUCAAUGUUAAACCCACCCCAACCAUCACGUGUUACUCCACAGUACUCUGUGACCCUAAUUUUCGAUGUUAGCCCAGUUCUAUGUUGCCUCAGUUACCCUACUUUUCAAUGCUGACCCAACUUUUCACUGAUAACCCACAGAUCUAUGUUUACCAACACUUUUCAAUGUCAACCCUCCAACAAUUCUGUUACCCCAGUUUUCACUCACUUUUCUCAGUUUGCCCCUUCCUAGAAUGUUUCCCCACCUCUCAUCAGUAAUCUGCACUGUAAUCCUAGGUUAAUUAAACUGCUCUCUAAUGCUUUAAGGGUGGUUGAGGGAUGGAUGCUGAUACUUGAUAGGAAAAUAUACACGCAAUGAAAUUAUGAAAGUGGUGGUGGUGGUGGUGAAGGUGGCAGUGGUCUGGGUGGGAGACAAGCCUCUCUAUAUACAGCUAAGAAUGCCUGUAACUGGCAGAUGAAGGGAAAUAGUGCAGAGUUGCCUUUAAAAAAAAGUAAGCUUUGUGGGUGAUAUGCCUUUGCCUUUUGGCUCCCAGAUAGCUAUUAUAUAUGAUAAAAAAAAAGAAGAAAAAGACAAAAUAACUGGUAUUUGCAUCCUUGACCAUUUAGGUUUAUACUGGCCAUUAGACUUUGGAUAGGCCAAGGGUUAUCAAACAAAAUUAAGCAUGGACUAAUGAAAACAAGGGGCCAAUAUUGAGGAUCAAAACAGUGCUCUUGCAGCAUUCCUUCUCAAGCCUUCUGUCCUUUGAGAAAAUCCCUAGAAUCAGUCCCCGAGAAGAGGUCAAAAUAGUGCCACAUGGUGCAAGAGUGCUCCAGCAACAUUAAACGCUGGCUGUCUGAAGGAAGACCUGAACACAGAACUCUGGAGAUCACAAUGGAAUCAUAUUCUUCCCUCCUCUUUCUGUAUUUUAUACACACACACUCCCCCCCACGUUCCUCCUUCCCUCUCUCUCUCUCUCUCUAUCGGUGAUCAUGUAGUUGUGACAGCCAGGUCAUCUAGUACACAAUAAUAAAUCAUAUAUAAUUCUUUCAGAACCCUCUUCCAGGAAGACAAUCUGGCUAAUUGUUUAGGUAGGGCCCAUCCUAACUGAAGUAAAUUACCAUUUGCUUUCAUCUUCCCCACCUCUCUCUAUCCCUCUUUCUCCACACAUACACACACACACACACAAAUAGCCAAGUAUGAUUCAUAUAUAUACAUACAUACAUACAUACAUACAUACAUACAUACAUAUAUAUAAUCAUUGUUUAACGUCCAUUUUCCAUGCUGGCAUGGAUUGGACAGUUUGACAAGAGCUGGCCAGCUCCUAUAUAUACAUAUGUAUGUAUAUAUAUAUACACACACACACUUAUACACUCUGAGACAAUAUCAUUAUUCUUUGGAGCUGAGAAAUCCAACAUGGCAGGCUACUCAAGAUUUUUACAUCCUUUCCAUGUAGGUUAUUUUAUUUCAUUUUAUUUUAAGCCUGAGAGGGAGUGCUUAUAAACAUCCAUUGAUGUUCUUGUUUUUCCAGCUGUAUAUGAUCUUCCCACUGAUAGCUAUUCUCCUGUAAGUGUGUGAAGUGGAGCACAUAAAAUCAUGUGCCCUGGUCAGGAAUGCAUAAAAACAAUGGUCAUAAUAGUAUCAGCUUUGAUCUUAUCACCACAUGGUGUGUACUCCACCCAGAUACACAUACACACACACAUAUAUAUGCACACAUACAUACAUAUAUAUACAUGAUAAAUAUACAUAUAUAUAUAUGUAUAUAUAUGUAUGUGUACAUAUAUGUGUGUGUGUGUGU